CCUAGGCACGAAACCUCUGGUUAGGUCUUGAGCAUCUUCAGGGUUUUAUUUUUAUUGUGUUUCUAAGCUUCAUAGGUAUCAAGCAAUCACAAAUGGCCGAGUGUUAGACCGGGUAAAAAGGCGAAAAAAUGGGUUUUCGUUUAAGGCCCUGUUUGGUUAAAAACUUGGGGGCAAGUUGGAGAGCCAGGAUUCCAAACGUGGAAUGCACGGAGCUCAAGUGAGAGUUGAGUCACGUGAGGUAAGAAUUCUCUAGAUGCUUCUAGAAAAGGGUAUUUAAAUAGAACAAAACCGACUCUGUGGUGAUCUUUGACCCUUUUUCCUAUUUCUUGAGCGAGUGAGAGCUUUGAAAUGGGAGAGAAGAGAAAAAUGUGGUUUUAGAGAGAGUUGAGAAGUGAGAUUCAAUAUCCACGGUGGAAGAAUUCAGAACUGUUAGCAGAGGUCUUUGGAGGGAAGAUCAUCAAGCAACUCGGUUUCAUAAGCUGAACCUCUAUUUCAGGACCAUGACAAUGAAACACAUUAUUUGUGAUCUAGCUUUGUGUGGAUUUGAAAGAUAUCCUGCAUCUGCAUAUCCAAGCAAUUGUUGUUUUGAUUCAUUUGAAUAAAAUAGACUCAUGUAAUUAGUUUCACAAAGAUAAUGUAAUAUAUGUUUGAUACCAUUCCAAUAUCUUCAAGUUUGAGCAGAACUGUAUUUUGCUAAUAAAUUGACAAAAAAACAAUAUUUGGACAUGUAUAAUUGGUAAGAUAAAUAAGUACACCAAUAAUGUUGAGAUAUGGUACUUUAGGACCAAGUAAUUCUUCACUUUUUUUGCGAGGGUGAAAUGAGUCAUUUUUCAUAUUAAGUGAUUAGACAAUCAUUGGAGAACUUAAAGGAUGAGUUUUAUCCAUAUGAAAACCCCUCAAAAUUUUCUUAAUGUAUGUUGAUUGAUGUAUUAAAACUCCAUUUAGAAAAUGCUCGAUCUAUAGGCUGAGACAAAAUCUUUCACCUCAAAUUCCUUUUUCAAAUGAUAUGUUGUUCUUGUGAGCUCUUUAGGAGUUUCAACAAGAUUUAAGCCAUUAACAUACAUUGCAAUAAUUGUAAAUCUGGUUUCUGAUUUCUUAAUGAAGAUGUAUGAACAUAUAGGGUUAUUCACAUACCCUUCUUUUAGCAAGUAUUCGCUAAUGUGAUUAUACCACAUGCAUCCAAAUUGCUUUAAUUCAUACAAGGAUCAUUGUACCUUGAUUGAGUACAUGUUACGAGGCUCUCUACUAUUUGCUUUAAGCAAUUUAAAUCCUUCAAGGGUUUUCAUGUAUAUAUCAUUAUCUAUGGAUCCAUAUAAAUAUGAUAUAAUAACAUCUAUGAGAUGCAUAUUCAAUCCUUCUAAGACUGUCAAACUAAUUAAGAAAUGAAAUGUUAUUGUGUCCAUGACGAGAAAGUAUGUUUUCUUGUAGUCAAUACCAAUUCUCUAUGAGAAACCUUGUGCUACUAAUCGUACUUUAUAUCUUAUGAUCUCAUCAUUCUCAUUGUGUUUUCGUACAAAUACCCAUUUGUACCUAAUAGGCUUUACAUCUUCAAGUGUUUGGACUAUUGGUUAAAAAACUUCUCGUUUUGUUAAUGAGUUUCACCCUGCCUACAUAGCUUUUUUCCAUUUUGGCCAAUCAUUUCUAUGUUAACAUUAUUCCAUAUUUCAUGGUUUGAGAUUUUCAUCAUUUCUUAUAAUAUUAGAGGCCACUUGGAAAGAGAAAAUAUUAUUAACAUUUUCUCUUGUGUGUACAUAACUUACUGACAUCUCACAAUUUUUAGGUACCUGUACCUUUUUAGGGGCUACUUAUUCAAUAUGUGCCUUUUUAGGGGUUUCUUGUUUAAUAUGUGCAUUUUCAAGGACUUUUUGCAUUAUUUGUUCUUUUUUUGGGGCAAUAGAUUUCUUAAUUUUAGAUCGAUCAAUCAUUUUGAUGGUUGCUUCUAGAGUAACAAAUUUUCUUUAUGUUCUCUUCUUUUGGGGAAUUAUAUCCUUUGAGCUGAUAGGUCUACCACGCUUUAGGUGUAUCUUAGAUUCAUUUGUUAAUUGUUCUACAAGGACAUCAAUCCAUGCUGGAGUAUUUGCAUCCGGGAUAUGUGACUUUGUUACUUUCUUUGUAUUUAUGAAUGUAUCUGGUAAUUGAUUUGCAAGAUUUUGAAAAUGAAUGAUCCUUUGAACUUCUAGUUCACAUUGAUUUGUAUAAGGAUUAAGAUGGGACAUAGUAGAUGCCUUCUAAGUAAUUUCUCGCCAUUAUUCAAGAAUCGGCUUUUCUUUCCUUAAUGAGAAGAAAACACUUUCAUUAAAAUGACAAUCCUCAAAGCGGGCUAUAAAAACAUCAUUUGUCAAAGGUUUAAGAUAUUUUAUAAUAGAUGGAGAAUCAAAACCUACAUAAAUCCCAAGUUGUCGUUGGGGACCUUCAUUUUAGUGCGUUGUGUAGGUGCAAUUGGUACAUAUACUGCACAACCAAAAAUCCAUAAGUAAGAGAUAUUUGGUUGUUUUCCAAGUAUAAGUUGUAAAGGGAAGUAUUCAUGAUAAGUUGUAGAUCAAAUACGGAUUAAAGCUACAACAUGCAUAAUAGCAUGUUCCUAGGCAGAAGUAGGUAAUUUGAUUUUCAUUAGUAAUAGUCAAUCUAUUAAUUGAAGAUGUUUGAUGAAGAAUUCUGUUAAACCAUUUUAGGUAUGAGUAUGGGUAAUAGGAUGCUCAAUAUUUAUUCAUAUUGACAUACAAUAGUCAAUGAAUGUUUGAGAAGUAAAUUUUCUAGCAUUAUUAAGACGUAUUGUCUCAAUUGGAUAAUAUGGAAAUUGUGCUUGUAAUCUGGUCAUUUGUGCAAAGAGCCUAGCAAAGGCAACAUUACGUGUAAAAAGGAGACAAAUAUGUGACCACCUAGUAGAAGCAUCUAUUAAGAUCAUAAAAUAACGAAAUGGUUCACAUGGUGGAUGGAUAGAACCACAUAUGUCUCCAUGUAUUCUUUCUAAAAAGACCGGUGACUUGGAUAUGAUUUUAGUAAAAGAUGGUCUUACUAUCAAUUUACCUUGUGAGCAGGCAACACGUGAGUAUUCGUUGGGCAAAAGAAUCUUUUGGUUCUUUAGUGGAUUCCCAUGUGAGUGUUCGAUUAUUUAACGCAUCAUUGAAAACCCUAGGUAACCUAACGUGUCUUGUCAAAGGACAAAAAAUUUUGGGUUGUUGAACUUCUAGUUCAUGACAACAUAUGAUUCAUAUGUUUUAUAGUUGUAUGAUACAACCUAAAAAAGAAAGCUGGGAAUUUUCCACUAUAAGUUUUCUCCAUAUAUAAUACAAGUAAUGUAAAGAUAUUCUAUAUUAUCUUCAUUCAUAGUUUCAAUUUGAUAUCCAUUUCUUCAGAUAUCCUUGAAAUUGAGCAAAAUUAUUUUAGAUUUGCUAGAAGAUAAAACAUCAUUUAUAUGGAAUCUAGUUCUAUUUGGUAGCAUUAUGUUUGCUUUUUCGAAGCCUUUAACCAAGUUUGUAGUGCCAAAUAUGGUACUUACAUUAACUUUUAUUAAUAUCAAUCCGAGGAAGUAUCUUUUAUCUCAAAGAAUUGUGUAUGUGGUUGCACAGUCUGCGAGACAUACAUCAUCCUCAUUCAUCUUGAGACAAAAUAACACAGAUUUUAGAUAUAACUAAUAUUAAAAAAAGGGCAUAAUAUAAAUAACAAUAUAUAAAAAAAAAAUGUAAUAACAAGAUAUAAAUAUAAGACAUAACAAUAUAUUAUUUGAUAUAUAAAGUAACAUCAAUCAAUGUUAGUAUUAUCAUCAUUUAUUAAAUGGUUAGUUUUUUACUUGGACCUCCAAAUAAAUCAAUGUCAUAGUAAGCUAGGUCCAAUCUAUCACCAUCAGUAAAGUUCAUCUCUAUCUAUUUUCCUUUUACUUUUAUUGAUACUUAGUAAAGGUCGACUAAAUGUUUGAGUGUAUCAUAGCUACGUAACUAAUUUCCCUUCAUACCACAUCUAUAACAAUUAUUUUAAUGGUUCUUGGAAGGUUUAUCUUGUAUACACUUCCCAUUUUCUUGUUUUGCCUCUGUAUUACUUGACUUUUGGUGGUGUAAUGAGGCUUUAUUUUUAUGAGAAUUUGAGGAAUUACUACCAUAAAAAUCAUGGUAAUGAGGAUUCCUUUCACGACCACAUCCUCGUCCUUGUCCACGUCUACGAGUUUGGGACGAUAUUACAUUUGCUUCAGGGAAUGGUUCAGAUUCAGUUGGAUGAGACUAGUGAUUUCUCAUCAAAAACUCAUUAUUUUGUUUAGUAACAAGAAGACAUGAUAUUAAUUCAGAGUUUUUUGUAUAUCAACGCUCUUGAUAUUGCUGCUAUAGAAGCACAUUUGAGGCAUGAAAUGUAGUAAAAGUUUUUUUAAACAUGUUUUUUUUGUGAUUUUUUCUCCACACAACUUUAAUUGAGAGCUGAUUUUGAACAAUGCGGAUUUAUAUUCACAAACAGUUUUAAAAUCUUGCAACCUUAAGUGCAUCCAAUCAUAUCAAGCUUUUGGGAGAAUCAUAGUUUUCUAGUGGUCAUAUCUUUCUUUCAAAUUACUUCAUAGAGUAAAAAGGUCUUUUACUAUAAGAUACUCACUUUUUAAACCUUCAUGGAGAUGAUGGUAAAGGAAAAUCAAUGCUUUUGCGUGAUCCUAUGGGAAUGCUUGAUUUCUUUCUUUGAUUGUAGCUCCAAGGUUCAUUGGAUUAAGAUGAAUUUCAACAUCAAGUAUCCAAUAUAGAUAGUUCUUUCCCAAAA
Molecule: long non-coding RNA, 4734 nt
Organism: Vitis vinifera (wine grape)
Lineage: Eukaryota; Viridiplantae; Streptophyta; Magnoliopsida; Vitales; Vitaceae
Exons: 2
Source: RefSeq, a predicted model, not a curated record